GCAGUUAUGCUCGAUGAAACCUGCCCCUGGCCGCCCUCUCACGGCGGAAACCCGGGUUCGAAUCCCGGUAGCGGUA
Molecule: transfer RNA, 76 nt
Filed under: Patulibacter medicamentivorans
Lineage: Bacteria; Bacillati; Actinomycetota; Thermoleophilia; Solirubrobacterales; Patulibacteraceae
Rfam family: tRNA
About the family: Transfer RNA (tRNA) molecules are approximately 80 nucleotides in length. Their secondary structure includes four short double-helical elements and three loops (D, anti-codon, and T loops).
Source: Rfam by way of RNAcentral